UCCGGCUUGACGCCGGCAGUCCCCCGAGAGUCCUCAGCAUUACCUGUUAGCAACACGGGGCAAGGGUUGCGCUCGUUGCGGGACUUAACCCAACAUCUCACGACACGAGCUGACGACAGCCAUGCAGCACCUGUCCUGGUGUCCCGAAGGAGGGCCCUGCUUUCACAGGGCUUUCACCAGGAUGUCAAGUCCAGGUAAGGUUCUUCGCGUUGCUUCGAAUUAAGCCACAUGCUCCGCCGCUUGUGCGGGUCCCCGUCAAUUCCUUUGAGUUUUAGCCUUGCGGCCGUACUCCCCAGGCGGGGCACUUAACGCGUUAGCUGCGGCACCGAAGGGGUCGCUCCCCCCAGCACCUAGUGCCCAUCGUUUACGGCGUGGACUAC
RNAcentral lists this unclassified non-coding RNA (380 nucleotides) under uncultured Gemmatimonadota bacterium. RNAcentral describes it as "uncultured Gemmatimonadetes bacterium contains 16S-23S intergenic spacer region". The record is from RNAcentral. Lineage: Bacteria; Pseudomonadati; Gemmatimonadota.